GAACUGCUGAGGAGUCCCACCAUGGAACGAAACGACCGUCCAGUGC
Non-coding RNA from Schistosoma rodhaini, 46 nucleotides. NCBI's taxonomy places the organism in Eukaryota, Metazoa, Platyhelminthes, Trematoda, Strigeidida, Schistosomatidae. The record is from Rfam.